AUACUUACCUGGCAGGGGAGAUACCAUGAUCACCAAAUAGGUUUCCCAGGAUGAGGCUCAUUCAUUGCACUCCGGGUGUAAAGACCUCUGCGAUUUCCCUAAAUGUGGGAAACUCGUGUGCAAAAACUCGACUGCAUAAUUUGUGGUGUGUUGUACUAUAUAAAUUAUAAU
Small nuclear RNA from Sceloporus undulatus (fence lizard), 171 nucleotides. RefSeq annotates it as U1 spliceosomal RNA. The record is from RefSeq and is a predicted model, not a curated record. NCBI's taxonomy places the organism in Eukaryota, Metazoa, Chordata, Lepidosauria, Squamata, Phrynosomatidae. The transcript has a single exon.